AGUGAACGCUGGCGGUAGGCCUAACACAUGCAAGUCGAGCGGGCGUAGCAAUACGUCAGCGGCAGACGGGAGAGUAACACGUGGGAACGCGCCCUUCGGUUCGGAACAACUCAGGGAAACUUGAGCUAAUACCGGAUGCGCCCUAACGGGGAAAGAUUUAUCGCCGAAGGAACGGCCCGCGUCGGAUUAGCUAGUUGGUGAGGUAAUGGCUCACCAAGGCGACGAUCCGUAGCUGGUCUGAGAGGAUGGCAAGCCUCACUGGGACUGAGACACGGCCCAGACUCCUACGGGAGGCAGCAGUGGGGAAUAUUGGACAAUGGGCGCAAGCCUGAUCCAGCCAUGCCGCGUGGAUGAUGAAGGCCUUAGGGUUGUAAAGUCCUUUUAACGGGGAAGAUAAUGACGGUACCCGUAGAAUAAGCCCCGGCUAACUUCGUGCCAGCAGCCGCCGUAA
Molecule: ribosomal RNA, 451 nt
Filed under: uncultured bacterium
Lineage: Bacteria
Description: partial 16S ribosomal RNA
Rfam family: Bacterial small subunit ribosomal RNA
Source: RNAcentral